This 459-nucleotide ribosomal RNA is filed under the name uncultured bacterium. Its description in RNAcentral is "partial 16S ribosomal RNA". It matches the Rfam family "Bacterial small subunit ribosomal RNA", at positions 338 to 795 of the family's 1533-position model. The record is from RNAcentral.
CCUACGGGAGGCAGCAGUGAGGAAUAUUGGUCAAUGGGCGCGAGCCUGAACCAGCCAAGUCGCGUGAGGGAAGACGGUCCUAUGGAUUGUCACCCUCUUUUGUCGGGGAGCAAAAGACGCCACGCGUGGCGUUCCGAGAGUACCCGAAGAAAAAGCAUAGGCUAACUCCGUGCCAGCAGCCGCGGUAAUACGGAGGAUGCGAGCGUUAUCCGGAUUUAUUGGGUUUAAGGGGUGCGCAGGCGGAAGAUCAAGUCAGCGGUAAAAUUGAGAGGCUCAGCCGCUUCGAGCCGUUGAAACUGGUUUUCUUGAGUGAGCGAGAAGGAUGCGGAAUGCGUGGUGUAGCGGUGAAAUGCAUAGAUAUCACGCAGAACUCCGAUUGCAAAGGCAGCAUACCGGCGCUCAACUGACGCUGAUGCACGAAAGUGUGGGUAGCGAACAGGAUUAGAUACCCCUGUAGUC